GGUAUUGCUCUCCCACAUUGGGGCGAGGAACCCAUUGAUUUAAUGAAUAUGGCUGUUAGAAAAGAUUCCAGUAGAUUUAUGACAAGAAAAUAUGAGUUGUGUGUGACGUUGGAUACUCCCGGAUUUCCUCCCAAUGUUCGCAAGGCAACGGCAGAUGUCAUCUUGAUGUUGGUGAAUCAAAUGCUUGAAAAGGGAUCAGAUGAUACAAAAGCCCUAAGUCGGGCUAUAAGUAUCUAUAGUGGUCUCAUAUUUUUUCCAUGGUGUUUCCAAAGAAGAUUUUGAUGCCAGGUGGAAAAGUUUUCAAUUUAUAAAGGAUGCAUUAGCAAAUAAAUUAACGAGGAACAAGCAGCAUAUACGAUCGCUCUUGAUAGAGAGAGCAGUUCUUCAUCAAGAAAGUCGCGUUUUAGAAAACAGCACUGUGCAUCUAACUGAAACCCAUAGUAAAAUCAUGAUAAGUUUACUGCAGUUGUCAACUAGCCAGUAUAGUGGGGUAAGUUUUGGAGUUCUUUUCAUACUUUAUUUUC
Long non-coding RNA from Macrobrachium nipponense, 524 nucleotides. RefSeq lists it as uncharacterized. The transcript has 3 exons. The record is from RefSeq and is a predicted model, not a curated record. NCBI's taxonomy places the organism in Eukaryota, Metazoa, Arthropoda, Malacostraca, Decapoda, Palaemonidae.